UCUCUCCGCUCCCAACGCCCUCAGUCUGGGUCCCCGCUACUCGCCGCUUCGCUUCCCUCCCCCCCCCGCAAAAUGGUCGCGUUCGCCCAGCCGAGGAUAUGCGCCGAACGGAGAGGCGGUACAACCUAGCCCGCUGGCACCUCCUCCUUCUCUCAUUGGCCGACUGAGCAGCCCGUCCAACGCAAUUGGUCCGUUCGAACCAUCACGGCGGUUCGGCUCCACCCCUUCCUCCCCGCGGGGAGGGGGGGAGAGGAGGACGCCCCACACUCAAGCUGCUAUGAGAGGGAACAUCCGAUAACAGCCCGCGAGCCCAAGCUGGGAUCUCUGCGGCUGUAGAUUCGCCACGGGUCGCCUUGCCCGUCGAGCAGCCCUGCGGUGGGGCCCGGCCCCACUUACAGGCCCCCGUCCCCGUCAGGUGUAUUCGGACCCGAUUUUAUUAUUGGAUCACUAAAAGCAGCAGUUGGGCUUUCAGUGAGCACACCACGACUUCCACCAAAGACUUUAACUCACCACUGCAGAAUGGUUGCAAGGAAGUAAUUCAUCAGCAUUUGUAAAGCUAUUUGAGAUCACAGAAUGGAAGGUGCUAUAAAAGCAAAGAGUACUGUUGUUCUACAACACAAGAGGGUUUACAACCUUUUUCUCAUUCACUGCUGGAUGCCCUAAUAAAGUGGCAUCAGAAGAGUUAUAUGUACGGGGCAGAGGGACAAAAAGGGAUAACUGGCAAAAGGCAAUUGGACAAUUCUUGAGACAGAGCAGAAGGCAGGGACAAAUUAAGCACUGCAAUCAAUGUACACACAUGAAAGCUGUGCUAUAGAAUCUCCCAAAUUCACACCAAUCCAUUUUGCACAUCAGGCAACACCACAGUGGUUGCUAGUAGGUAUUGUGGCUACCCAUAAGUGUCCUCUUUCAACCCAGGGGUGAUUACCACAGCUGACAAAGAGUCCUGGGCAUUUCCACAACAGAUACAUUAGUCAUACGCAGAUCCAGAGUGUGAAAUAAUGAGGAGUUACUGUAACACCAUGUCAGCAAUCAUGAGACACGCGCAAAUCGCUAGAUCUUCACUUUCAGAACAGAAGAUCAUUGUAACCGUCCCUUCUGGAACAAUCCCUCUAUGUAUAGCUGGGAGUUAGUGGUAUAUAUUGAAAUAUUACCUUUCCCCCUCAAGUCCAGUCACUUGUUACAGAAGUAAGUGGAGCACUCUUACUUCAGAGGUGUUAACCCAAACCAUGCAGCUGAACAAGACGAUACAA
Mauremys reevesii (Reeves's turtle) is the source of this 1250-nucleotide long non-coding RNA. RefSeq lists it as uncharacterized. NCBI's taxonomy places the organism in Eukaryota, Metazoa, Chordata, Testudines, Geoemydidae. The record is from RefSeq and is a predicted model, not a curated record. The transcript has 2 exons.